Molecule: ribosomal RNA, 305 nt
Filed under: uncultured bacterium
Lineage: Bacteria
Description: bacterial SSU rRNA
Rfam family: Bacterial small subunit ribosomal RNA
Source: RNAcentral
UGUCCCUACGGGAGGCAGCAGUAGGGAAUCUUCCACAAUGGACGAAAGUCUGAUGGAGCAACGCCGCGUGAGUGAAGAAGGGUUUCGGCUCGUAAAGCUCUGUUGGUAGUGAAGAAAGAUAGAGGUAGUAACUGGCCUUUAUUUGACGGUAAUUACUUAGAAAGUCACGGCUAACUACGUGCCAGCAGCCGCGGUAAUACGUAGGUGGCAAGCGUUGUCCGGAUUUAUUGGGCGUAAAGCGAGUGCAGGCGGGUCCAUAAGUCUGAUGUGAAAGCCUUCGGCUCAACCGGGGAAUUUCAUCCGAA